RNAcentral lists this ribosomal RNA (433 nucleotides) under uncultured bacterium. Its description in RNAcentral is "partial 16S ribosomal RNA". It matches the Rfam family "Bacterial small subunit ribosomal RNA", at positions 29 to 507 of the family's 1533-position model. The record is from RNAcentral.
AACGAACGCUGGCGGCAUGCCUAACACAUGCAAGUCGAACGAGACCUCCGGGUCUUGUGUCGCACGGGUGUGUCACGCGUCGGAACCUUCCCUCAGGUUUGGCAUACCUCUCCGACUGGGGUGCUAAUACCGGAUCAUAUCUUCUACCCAAUGAUUUAUCGCCUUUGGUUGGGCCCGCGUUGGAUUAGCUUGUUGGUAGGGUAAUAGCCUACCACGGCGACGAUCCAUAGCUGGUUUGAGAGGAUGCUCAGCCACACUGGGACUGAGACACGGCCCAGACUCCUACGGGAGGCAGCAGUGGGGAAUAUUGGACAAUGGGCGAAAGCCUGAUCCAGCAAUGCCGCGUGAGUGAUGAAGGCCUUAGGGUUGUAAAGCUCUUUUACCCGGGAUGAUAAUGACAGUACCGGGAGAAUAAGCUCCGGCUAACUCCGUG